Molecule: long non-coding RNA, 591 nt
Organism: Engraulis encrasicolus (European anchovy)
Lineage: Eukaryota; Metazoa; Chordata; Actinopteri; Clupeiformes; Engraulidae
Exons: 5
Source: RefSeq, a predicted model, not a curated record
UCGCAGCAGUAGUAUUAGCCACCGCAAUCGUUUUUAGUUAGGCAUUACCAUUAUUUCUGUUGAAAUGUAGGUUUCAGCAUUACAAGUCAGGCUUGAUUAAACAUUAAAUUAGGUUGCUGAAAUAAAUCUCUUCACCUGUCAUGCUGUCUCGAAUGACCUCCUCAUCGAGUUUCUAAUCGAUAUCCGACCUCACUUUUUCUUACCGUUAGCAAGUUAGCUAACGUGUCAAACGUACCCAGCAACCAGGCAUACUGCUCCCGUAAUCAAGUUUCCUGCUGGAGUCGGGCUGUUGAUUCUUGUCUAGCCCAUGAUGACUGGUUGAAAGGACAUUACAAAAUAGGCUACGGUGUUUUGCCCCUGCGGUUGUGAAGAGGAUGCUGUGGAGGUGGCAGCAUGAACGUGUCACACAGACAUUGGCUAAACUACUCGGCUUCUACACUUGCCCUCAGAGUUCACAUAUGGUUAAGUGCACAGGUGGCCAGCCAGGUUCAGACUGAUACUGGUAACAAGAGGAAAACAUGCUGAUUGGAAUGAUUCAACGAUGGACAUUUUGCUUAAUUGUGGAAAAAAUAAAUGGAAAAACGUCUAUGA